RNAcentral lists this long non-coding RNA (201 nucleotides) under Elaeis guineensis (African oil palm). RNAcentral describes it as "long non-coding RNA (EGUI_LNC045068)". The record is from RNAcentral. Lineage: Eukaryota; Viridiplantae; Streptophyta; Magnoliopsida; Arecales; Arecaceae.
AGAUUGCGGUGAUCUACUACCCGCACAAAGGUUUUGUGUUCUGAACACAUUACAGUAAAGUAUUUACUGUUCGAAUUUGAAUUUCAAAUUUAAAUGAAUGCAUGCUAUAUAUCAUAUUUAGAUCCUAGUGUAGGAUAAAUUCAUGUUAAUUAAUUAGAUUAAUUAAUAUUUUUUUACUGCAAAAUCAUAAUUUUGAAAAAA